RNAcentral lists this ribosomal RNA (442 nucleotides) under uncultured bacterium. RNAcentral describes it as "partial 16S ribosomal RNA". It matches the Rfam family "Bacterial small subunit ribosomal RNA", at positions 338 to 795 of the family's 1533-position model. The record is from RNAcentral.
CCUACGGGGUGCAGCAGUGGGGAAUAUUGGGCAAUGGGCGCAAGCCUGACCCAGCAACGCCGCGUGAAGGAAGAAGGCUUUCGGGUUGUAAACUUCUUUUGUCAGGGAAGAGUAGAAGACGGUACCUGACGAAUCAGCCACGGCUAACUACGUGCCAGCAGCCGCGGUAAUACGUAGGUGGCAAGCGUUGUCCGGAUUUACUGGGUGUAAAGGGCGUGUAGCCGGGUUGACAAGUCAGAUGUGAAAUCCUGCGGCUUAACCGCAGAACUGCAUUUGAAACUGUUGAUCUUGAGUACUGGAGAGGCAUACGGAAUUCCUAGUGUAGCGGUGAAAUGCGUAGAUAUUAGGAGGAACACCAGUGGCGAAGGCGGUCUGCUGGACAGCAACUGACGGUGAGGCGCGAAAGCGUGGGGAGCAAACAGGAUUAGAUACCCUUGUAGUC